AGUGAACGCUGGCGGUAGGCCUAACACAUGCAAGUCGAACGGCAGCACAGUAAGAGCUUGCUCUUACGGGUGGCGAGUGGCGGACGGGUGAGGAAUACAUCGGAAUCUACUUUUUCGUGGGGGAUAACGUAGGGAAACUUACGCUAAUACCGCAUACGACCUACGGGUGAAAGCAGGGGAUCUUCGCACCUUGCGCGAUUGAAUGAGCCGAUGUCGGAUUAGCUAGUUGGGGGGGUAAAGGCCCACCAAGGCGACGAUACGUAGCUGGUCUGUGAGGAUGGUCAGCCACACUGGAACUGGGACAGGGUCCAGACUCCUACGGGAGGCCGCAGUGGGGAAUAUUGGACAAUGGGCGCAAGCCUGAUCCAGCCAUAGCGCGUGGGUGAAGGAGGCCUUCGGGUUGUAAAGCCCUUUUGUUGGGAAAGAAAAGCAGCAGGUUAAUACCCCGCUGUUCUGACGGUACCCAAAGAAUAAGCACCGGCUAACUUCGUG
RNAcentral lists this ribosomal RNA (492 nucleotides) under uncultured bacterium. Its description in RNAcentral is "partial 16S ribosomal RNA". It matches the Rfam family "Bacterial small subunit ribosomal RNA", at positions 29 to 507 of the family's 1533-position model. The record is from RNAcentral.